Molecule: non-coding RNA, 45 nt
Organism: Schistosoma mattheei
Lineage: Eukaryota; Metazoa; Platyhelminthes; Trematoda; Strigeidida; Schistosomatidae
Source: Rfam
AUCAGGCUGACGAGUCCUAAAUAGGACGAAACGCACGUCAUGGAU